UUCUAAUAAUAGGGGUGCUUUGAAGGCUGAGAUUAUACCCAUUGAACCUGGAACAGGUAAUGCUGUUUAGGAAAUUGAUAAUUUCAAUGU
RNAcentral lists this non-coding RNA (90 nucleotides) under Flavobacteriaceae bacterium. RNAcentral's name for it is "TPP sequence". It matches the Rfam family "TPP riboswitch aptamer (THI element)". From Rfam's summary of the family: Vitamin B(1) in its active form thiamin pyrophosphate (TPP) is an essential coenzyme that is synthesised by coupling of pyrimidine and thiazole moieties in bacteria. The previously detected thiamin-regulatory element, thi box was extended, resulting in a new, highly conserved RNA secondary structure, the THI element, which is widely distributed in eubacteria and also occurs in some archaea. Analysis of operon structures identified a large number of new candidate thiamin-regulated genes, mostly transporters, in various prokaryotic organisms. The record is from RNAcentral. Lineage: Bacteria; Pseudomonadati; Bacteroidota; Flavobacteriia; Flavobacteriales; Flavobacteriaceae.